AGAAAAGAGAAUUGGAUCCCCAUACCUCAUCACCACUUUGACACCAUUAUAUAACUUUCCAAAGCUCCAUUGAUCAAAGAAGAAACAAAACAACCUUAACCAACCAAACAUCAUCAAAAGAACAGAUUUUGAGUUUUUGACAAUGUCAUUCUCAAACAACUACCAACCAUACAACUACCUCCAGCCUUACUACUGCAGGGAAGCAUCAUACACAGAUGAUGAUCUCUGUGGUAACUAUGGCUACACUUACACCUACCCUGCGAAGACGAUGACAUCAUCAUUGUCGGAGGUUUCGAGCUAUGCCAGAGCUCCCCCUCCACCUCCUCCUCCGCAUCAUCGUCGUCCUCGUGAUAAUGAAGUGAUGAGCAGUGGGAAUGUUGACAGAGUAGCUGAGGAGUUCAUCAAGAUGGAGCACAAGCAGUGGAGCAAGAACAUGUCCAAUAGGUAUGGCUAAUGGCUAAUGUGUUUAUAACAUGAUUAUGAAGCUUUUUACCAAUAAAAUGUGAUGUUUGGCUUGUGUUUGUGUUGAUGUUUGGUUGUUGUAUGGUUUCGAAGAUUGUAACUUUUCUCUUUGGUGGGUUUGCUCCAAUAAUUCUUCAGAAACUAUUACAUGUGGUUAGUUGUUGCUUUAUGGAUGGAUAACCCAAAUAAUCAAAACCCAAUUGACCAUCAAUCAUCCAUAACCCAAUUGGCCAUUUGAAUAACCCAAAAAACCCAACGUAAUCUACCUAAAUCUAGUUAAUUGAUCCAUAACCAAUCCGUUUACCGGUCUACAAACAAAAUUAAUCGAAUUACAAAUCACUCUAAAUCAAAUGGCUUCAAAUCAUUGAUCAAUUUUUUUCUGAGUUGCUCAAGUCAAGCUUCAGCUUGACCAUAUCAUGAAAAAUUCAAAGCAUCGCUCAUUAAAAUAGUCCAUUAUAAUCUCUAUAUAAUCAAACCACUCAUCAAAAUAAUCCAUAUAUAACUAGAACUCAUCCACGAUUUAACUACAUUAUAUAGUAAAAUUACAUAUUGUUAGACUCAUCGGUCGAUAUCCUGAUACGAGUUUCAGGAAACAUGAAACCCUUUACCAAUAACAUUCCUUGACAACAAAUUGGGUUCAAUGAUCAAAUCCGAUCCUUUCAUUAACCACUUCUUCAGCAACAACGACAGCAACAUCAAACCCCAACAAAGGAGAUCAAAAACAUCAUCAUCGGAAGCAAAUUAAAACCCCAAAGAUGAAACCUUUUUUAAUCUAAAUCUAAUCCUUGAAAUCUACAUCAUAUGGAUCUACAUAGAGGGCAAGUAACGUGACGGUUAUCGAACCACUUCUGAAGACAACCUUUGUGGAAGAAAUGCUUACAAGACAACUCACUCACUUCCUCUUCAUCCUCAAACCCACACAAACACACACAGCAACAACACUCUGUUCCAUUUCCGCCAUUGUCGCCCUUCGAAGAACCUUCACAGCUCAGCAAUCUGAACUGGGUAAUCGAUAUUCUCCUACUCUUUUGUUCCAAGUCACGAUCUUGAUGACCAUGAUGAUCGAUGAUUGGAGAAGAAGCCAUGAAAACAAGCUGAAGCAGAGAUCUGAGCAUGUUCUUGAGCAAGGCGACUGAGAUUACUGUGUUGACUACUAGCAGAGGUAGAAUUCCUCCUGAAGGUGUUGGGAAGCUCGAGAGCCCCAUUUGAACCGGAUCGGUCGGACCGAAUUGGGUUGGUUAUUGGAUUGUUUGGUGAGAUUUGAAGAAGGGGGAAACAGAGGAAACAGAGAAGAACAGAGGUUUUUUACGUUUCUAAGGCAGGGGAAUUUUUCAAAGGGAUUGGGUUGUGAGGUUUGUAUAAAUAGUAAUCAGGGUUGGGUUUUGGUGAUUGAUUGGCUCGGUUUUAAAACAUUCGGUUAAUGGAUAGUGUUUUUAACCAUGGUGGAGGGUUAGGGUUAACCCUGGUUUAGAGGUUGGAAGGUGUAAGGGUGAAGGACACGUGGCUACACGUGUAAGGUUUGUGGGGGAGGAGGGGAGUGAUUGUUGAUUGUAAUUGGUAAGGGGGGUAAGAGGUUGUUUGUUUGAGGAGAUUUGGUGGGUGGGUUUAGAGAUUUGGUUGGAUUACAAAAAUUAGAGGUGAUGUAUCCUCAUUCGGAACUUUCGGGUGUAGGGUUUCUGUGAUUUCGAGUGACUUGGGAGAUUUUACCAUUCGUGUUAAGGAUGUCGUUCUAUGUUUCAUGAUGAAAAUUAUCGUGAAUAUCACUUUUUUCUUGUGUGUUAUAUUUAUAAUAGAGGUGAUUUGUGGAAAUAUAAAAUUUUUUAAUGGUUGGUUCGAGGAGGUGUCUAAUUGAAAUUUUCAAUGCCUAAAACAUCUUAAGUCUCUUUUAAGAGAGGAUUUUUCAUCUUAUCAAAAGAAAAAGUUAUUUUUAACGUGAUUUGCAUAAUGAGACGGUCUCUUUCAAAAUAUAAAUUUCAAAAUUCUCAUAUCACUCUCGGUCAACUGUAACAUACCUAGAUACCAAAUCACCUCUAUUUUUCGAUCCAAAUAGCCGAUUCGGAUCAAAUCUCCAUAAUCCCCACCACUUUCCAAACACCUUACACACAAACAACCCCUAAAGUUUAUAGAAAUGGGACAAAAGGACACGUGUUGUUUAGGAAGUUUGGGAGGAAAGAACUCGAAGAACAAGUGAGUGAACCAACCAACGGCGGAGAUUCAAAACCAACCCCAAAUAAUUGGGACAAAAGGGUUACUUUCAGUUUACAAAAGAAGAAGGUUCUUGAUCUCAUAUGACUAGGGGGAAAUGAUGCGGUGUCGCUUUUGUGUUGAACUUGCCUUAUGGGGGUGGGGGACCAACCUCUUCCCCUAUUUCGUGGCUGGAUUUGGUCUCAACUUAACAUCAAUGUAGUAUGAUAUUUUCUUGUUGUUGAUGUUGUGUUGUUACUAGGAAUAGUAAUGGUUCAUAGUAUAUAGUGAGUAGUGGUGACCAUAUUUAUAUAGGCUCAAUAUCUAUGUUUGUUUUUUUUGGUGGGUUGUAAUUUAAGAUUUGGGGUUAACGGUGUAUAUGAGAUGAUUGUAUCUAACAAAUUUGUUUUCGUAACUAACAAGUCUAGCCAGCUCAAAAUUUAAUUAGAUUGUUUUAGGCUUACUCAGAUAUUAUCAUGUUGCGUCGCCGACAUCCUAACUCAGGUCUAACUCAAUCUUGGCCACUCACUUUCAAUGGAUUGACUCUCCUUAUAUCUAAAGAGUUAUAAAAAUCAAAAUGACUUUAGCAUUUAUAACAUAUCAGACACACGACCUGACACGCUUAGACCGUAUUCUCACACAAGUUAUGUGCCUAAAGUUGGUCAUAUGUCUACGGACAUACUCUUCAUGUCUUAAACUUGUUCGACUUCAUAGUCUCACGCAUUGACGGAGCCAGAAAAUUGGACGAGGAAGUUCGAAAUUCUUACCUAACAUAUGAUGGGAAACAAUUAGAAAUCCAACCUAAAAUUUUAGUGAUCGACGGCACAUAUAUCUACACUAACAACAAUAAUCAAAACUCUUAAGAAAUAUUUUUUAACUUCAUUUUGAUAUUAUUUGAAGGGAUUAACAUGGUGAAACCUCAACUUUUAGUCAUUCCCAACAUAUAUAUUAAAUAUUAGCUAAUUUGAAAUUUUUCAAUUUUAUCUCAAAAUUGGUCAAUUUCCGUGUGUUAUAUUAAGGGAAUUUAACCAUUUUUCACAAGAAAAUUUCAAAUUUUUAAAUCAAUUAAUAUUUGACAUGCAUGUUGAAAAUGACUAAUAAAUUAAAUUUUAUUAUCAUAAUUUCUAUAAAUAAUGAAAAAAUUAAGUUAAAUUGUUAUGCUAGUUUUAAAACAUUUUACAUUAACUUAUUUUUUAUUUUGUUUAGUUCAAAUAACUGUUCCAAAGUCUUCAGGCCACAACAAAUCUUGCUUUCUGGCUUUACUAGAGUGAAAAGACAUAUUCACCCAUUUUCUCAGUCAUCAAAGGCAUCAAAUUUUCAACCAGAAACAUCACUUUCACCCCCAUUUUAGUGUUGCAAGUUAGAAUUGAUGCUUGUCUGUAGAUUGAAGUUGACUGGAAUUGAUGCUUAGUCCAUGGUCUGUAGUGGGUUGCUUCAUAUUCAAGCAUACGCAUUCCGUAGAGGGUGGAAUCAGUGAGGCUAAUGUUUUGAUGCUAGUUGACACACCAUAGAAGCUAGAGAUGGUACUGGCUCGAUCUCUGUUUACACGAUUUAACCGGUUCAACGAUGAAGGGAUCGUACUGCUUGUGGGAUUUAAGGACCUGUACGGUGGUCCGGGUUACAGAACAUGUUCUCUGCUGCUCCACUAAUGGUGUUGUUCAAUGUUCUGUAUUCCAUCACAGGUGAGAAUCUCUCAGAGUUCAUCAUAUCCUUUCC
RNAcentral lists this long non-coding RNA (4362 nucleotides) under Linum usitatissimum (flax). RNAcentral's name for it is "long non-coding RNA (LUSI_LNC007642)". Lineage: Eukaryota; Viridiplantae; Streptophyta; Magnoliopsida; Malpighiales; Linaceae. The record is from RNAcentral.